This is a long non-coding RNA of Herpailurus yagouaroundi (jaguarundi), 345 nucleotides long. RefSeq lists it as uncharacterized. The transcript is spliced from 3 exons. NCBI's taxonomy places the organism in Eukaryota, Metazoa, Chordata, Mammalia, Carnivora, Felidae. The record is from RefSeq and is a predicted model, not a curated record.
GUUUAACCAGUGCCACGCUGACCCUUGGGUCUCAGUGCCGUCCAAGAGACUGCUGGUACACAGGUAGCAGAGAGCCCAACUGCAGGUGAAAAAUUUUAUUUCUAACUGUAUUUACACAAAUGUCUUCUUUGGUCUCACACCCUGGUCUUGGCCUCUUUGCCUCAAAGCCUAUGCUGUUCAUCAUCUGCCCACUGCUCACUCUGCCACUGGAGCCCUGCUAAGCCCAGCUUUCAGAAAUAAAUCUCAUGAGCCCCGUCAAGUGUGAGACAUGAGACAUGGAUCCAACCCAAGAUAAAUCUCUCUUCAGACAGGCUGUCAGGACUUCAGAAUGCAGCACCCCCAUAU